GAUGAAGACGUAGCGAAAUGCGAUAAGUAAUGUGAAUUGCAGAAUUCAGUGAAUCAUCGAAUCUUUGAACGCACCUUGCGCUCCUUGGCAUUCCGAGGAGCAUGCCUGUUUGAGUGUCAUUAAAUUCUCAAGACCUGUCUGCUUUUUUGAUAGGUAUUGGAUUUUGGGGGUUGCAGGCUGUUUCAAAUAAAUAGCCUUGCUCUCCUUGAAUGUAUUAGUGGAGAAAAGCCAUUGAACUCCAUUGGUGUGAUAAAACCUAUCAAUGCCAGGAGCAAUAUCACUACUUCUCUCUGCUGUCUAACUGUGACUGUCUGUAUUAAUUAGUAUGGAUGGGGACAACUUGACCAACUUGACCUCAAAUCAGGUAGGACUACCCGCUGAACUUAAGCAUAUCAAUAAGCGGAGGA
RNAcentral lists this unclassified non-coding RNA (407 nucleotides) under soil metagenome. RNAcentral's name for it is "partial contains 5.8S ribosomal RNA, internal transcribed spacer 2, and large subunit ribosomal RNA". The stretch from base 1 to 119 matches the Rfam family "5.8S ribosomal RNA", at positions 35 to 154 of the family's 154-position model. The record is from RNAcentral.